GAUGAGGAGUUGCGGAGCCAGGGUCGAUGCCCAUUGACACCAGAAGAAAUUGGACUGUUACUGGCAGCCCUAGGAUUCGACCAAAAAACUCGCCUUUACCUUGCCUCCCACAAGGUCUACGGUGGGGAAGCCAGAAUCUCCAGUUUGCGCAAGCUAUUCCCUCUGAUGGAGGACAAGAAGAGCCUUGCUUCUGCAGGGGAACUUGACAGGGUCGAGGGAA
RNAcentral lists this unclassified non-coding RNA (220 nucleotides) under Hevea brasiliensis (rubber tree). The record is from RNAcentral. Lineage: Eukaryota; Viridiplantae; Streptophyta; Magnoliopsida; Malpighiales; Euphorbiaceae.